GAUGAACGCUGGCGGCGUGCCUAAUACAUGCAAGUCGAACGCUUCACUUCGGUGAAGAGUGGCGAACGGGUGAGUAAUACAUAAGUAACCUGGCAUCUACAGGGGGGAUAACUGAUGGAAACGUCAGCUAAGACCGCAUAGGUGUAGAGAUCGCAUGAACUCUAUAUGAAAAGUGCUACGGGACUGGUAGAUGAUGGACUUAUGGCGCAUUAGCUAGUUGGUAGGGUAACGGCCUACCAAGGCGACGAUGCGUAGCCGACCUGAGAGGGUGACCGGCCACACUGGGACUGAGACACGGCCCAGACUCCUACGGGAGGCAGCAGUAGGGAAUUUUCGGCAAUGGGGGAAACCCUGACCGAGCAACGCCGCGUGAAGGAAGAAGUAAUUCGUUAUGUAAACUUCUGUCAUAGAGGAAGAACGGUGGAUAUAGGGAAUGAUAUCCAAGUGACGGUACUCUAUAAGAAAGCCACGGCUAACUACGUGCCAGCAGCCGC
RNAcentral lists this ribosomal RNA (494 nucleotides) under uncultured bacterium. RNAcentral's name for it is "bacterial SSU rRNA". It matches the Rfam family "Bacterial small subunit ribosomal RNA", at positions 28 to 518 of the family's 1533-position model. The record is from RNAcentral.